AGGAUAGGGCUGACACAGAGCCUGGCUGAGGGGAUGAGGAUGGUAGCAGGUUCUGGAGACAAACUGCUUGACCUCAAACCUGACUCUGCCGCUUACAGGAGAAAACCUCCACCAUCUCUACAGAGUCUGAACUUCUUUUCUCCUUUUACAAACUAAAGAAGCAAACAUGCAUACAAUGGACUGAAAUUGCAACAAAAUCCUGCAUUCCCACUUGACGAGGGCCCCUGAAAAACUGCAAGGUGUCUGAUGGGGUUCUCUUCAAUCAGCCUGGAGCUGCCCAGAAGCUCCCAGUGUGGGGCUGUUGGAGCAGAGAAGGCUUGGACUAGCAGACCCCAGCUCCCAGCUGACAGAUCCAGCUUCUAAAGAGACUGCGUAGAGCUUGCUCAGACCUGCCUCUUUCUCUCACUUUUCCUUAAACAACCAUUAGUCCCAUUUUGUAACAGCUGCCUGCAGAGAAGAGACACCAACUUUUUUUUUUUAAAUCAAGUCUUAUUUGGUGUUCAUGUACAGCUGCCUAGUGGGCUCUGGUGCCUCUCAGAUUCUAUGUUUGGUAUCAGAACAAGCCUUCUUCUGUCCACUCAGACCCCUCUCCAUUCUGGUAAGGAAAUGUCUACACCUGAAGGCCCAAGUGGUUUCAAAUCCUGAAAUCACUUCGGGUCAUUUUACAGCUGGAAGUUGUACGGCUUGGAGCCUUGUUACUCAAAAUUUCAUCUGUGAAUCAGUAGUGUCGGCAGCAUGUGAGUCUUUGCGGAUUAUCUGCCCCUGCUCCAGACCUAUACAGAGUCGGCAUCUCUGGGGGAGGGGCCCAGAAGUCAGCCUUGUAACAAGCCCUGAUUCUGACGCACACUGAAUAUUCAGAAGCUCUGGCACGUUAUCCCGUGCCAUUAUUUUUUUUAAGUUUAUUUAUUUAUUUUGAGGAAAGAUAGAGAGAGUGAGCAGGAGUGGGGCAGA
Molecule: long non-coding RNA, 951 nt
Organism: Hyaena hyaena (striped hyena)
Lineage: Eukaryota; Metazoa; Chordata; Mammalia; Carnivora; Hyaenidae
Exons: 3
Source: RefSeq, a predicted model, not a curated record